UUAUAAGUCAGAGGCAAGUGCAGAGUCAAAAAAAAGAAGGGAACACAUGGAAAGCAAGAGAUAAAAAUUUACGAUUUCUGAGACCUCCAUUAUACUGUUGUCUUGGUUACGUGCUCAGAGCUUUUACUUUGAUUGGAGUGCCUUGUAAAGCUCUUUUGGACUCAGUCUUUCAUUUCUUGACUACGGAUGGAUGGAGGGUCAUUCUAAUCCCUAUAUUCUUCUUCCUCAUAGGAGAGUGAAAAUAAGAUAUCAAAUGUUGGCAGCUAUCAGUCUACCUGUAGGGCAGCUGCUGAGACUUUACUGCCUGUAUAUGGACCCUGACUAUCCUCCAGCUCAUAUCAGGACACUUGAGGUAUGUCAAAUAGUGCUUACUCCGUUCCUCCCAAGGAAGAUACAGCUGCUCUGUGCACCACUAAUGAGAGAGAGGUGAGAAGGGAACAGUGUUCCAGUGUGCCCUUUACCUACUUUCAGGGAGAAGAAUAUAUUGAGUGGUAAGAAAUUCUCUAGUUUUUAAUUCAGCUCAAUCCAGUGCAGCAUUUCCCCUCAUUUUCUAUUGCUUUCCUCAUUUUUGGUAAAAUGGAAGUCUAAAUUUCCAAUGGCAUUGCUAUAAAUUCUGAGGCUUCUGGCAAAGCAUGAAGAGUCACCAUUGCCUUUAGAACCAUCUGAGGGGCUAUCAGAAAAAAUGAGUAUGUAGUUGUAAGCUUAGACACUGCAGAAGCUGUUUCAGCUGAGGUUGGCUUCGGUUUGUUCUGAUUGUGCUGUUACAGGUGGUGAGGACAAGGUGUUUGACUAAAAUUCAGUGGAUUCGUUUUCUUUGGCCUUGAGGAUACUCGAUCCUAUCCUGUCUUUUGUCUUUGCUUCCCUUGGUUGGUACAAGUCGAAGAUUACAACUUUGAUCUUGUUUGCCUGUCUGCUUUGUGAUGCAUAAUGGCUUACAUAUGUUAACAGAAUAUUUAUGAUAAAAGCACCUGGUUUCUCUAAGACUAGAAGGAAUGACUCAUUUCCCCCCUGAUUAGAGUGCAGAGUAAGGCACUCUUGUUUUAUUUUUGUUUAGCAGUAGUACUGCUAGUAUGACAAAUUUUAUAAGGUACUGUAUACCUGGCUAGAUGUCACAACUAUCACAAAUAACCAAUACUAAGAAUAAAAAAGUAAUUAAAACUAAAACCUUCCAAGAGAGCAGAAAUCCUCCAAGGAAAGGAAAGUAAAAUGUAAAAUAUUAAUCCGGCAAGCAGAUGCAUUUAAAACCUCUCGUAGGAAAGUGGAAAACAGAACAAACAUCUGGGAGUCUUCAGUUGUGAAGUAAAAUUAUAGUCAUUGGUUACAGAGACUUUUCUUGCCCUUUGCUUGUAAACAGCCAAAUAAGUCCGUGGAACAACAUAUAAAUAGGAGAAAUCAUCAAAUCCCAAACUAAAUAUCCCUUGUCAGGAUAAAAGAGUAUGUUUUGGGCAGAAAUCCAGGAAACUACUGAAACAAAUCUAAGUUUCCAAUAUUUGAACUUUGAAAUACAGGGGAGUUCCCGUCGUGGCUCAGUGGUUAACGAAUCCGACUAGGAACCAUGAGGUUGCAGGUUCGAUCCCUGGCCUCGCUUAGUGGAUUCAAGAUCCAGCAUUGCCGCGAGCUGUGGUGUAGGUCACAGACACAGCUCAGAUCCUGUGUUGCUGUGGCUCUGGCAUAGGCCAGCCGCUACAGCUCUGAUUAGACCCCUAGCCUGGGAACUUCCAUAUGCUGCGGGUGCAGCCCUGGAAAAGACAAAAAGACACACACACACAAAAGAAAUACAACUCAGAAACCAGCUGCCCUCUACCUCUCUCCUCUCCCACACCGUCCCACGUAGCCCCUCACACUACAUGAGCACCAGGCUUCCCAUGCUGUGCUCCAUCUGCCUGGAUGCUCUUUGUCCUAGUAUAAACAUGGCAUCUCCCUUAUUUCCUUCAGAUCAGCUGAAAAAGCACUUGCUGACCUUCAUCUUUUCUUUGUAACACCUAUAAUUCCCUGACUAAUUAUUAAGUACAUCUUUCAUUUUCUAGAAUGUUAGCUCUUUCAAGACAAGGACUUUAUUUUGUUCACUAUGAAAUUCCCAGAACUUGACAAUGUGGCUAACACAUGGAAAACACACAUUAAUUUUUGUGGAUUUGAGUGAAUGAAAAGCAUAAAACAAUGAGAAACACUGAAAUGAGUGGUGAAAGUGAAGAUGCACCACCCAGCUAUCCCCCUUCAGUCUUCAGCCCCUCCAGGAUCACCUCACCUUGUAGAAACCCCCUUGCCAAGGUCAUGCCCUUUUGUGGGUGGUCCACAGAUAGUGACUGAUGGAGGCCAAAGUACAAAGGCAGGGCCAUUUCAGUGCAAUGCAGGAAAACUGACAGACCAUUUCAACUCCAGUGCACACCCAAGGAGCCGGCUGAGGCUGCUGGUUCACAGCACAGCUUGGUCUCUCCCUUGAUAGAGCCUACAUUUCCCCUCUCCCUCCACAGAUAAAAAUCCCAAGGACUCCCUAAAAACAUCCCAAACACAAAGUUUACUUCCCACAAAAUCCAAAGUGCAACAAAAUGGAAAAACGGGAAAUAUAUCCUCUUUACAAUUUACACCCUUAUUUCAAAAACCUGUAUUUUCAUCCAAAAAUAAAUUCCUUCAUUUGGCAGAUAUUUGUGGGGAAGCUAGCAUGUUCCUGUCACAGUUUUGUGGUGAAAUAGCAAAUAAAAAACAAGUUUCUCCAGUUCCACGAACCCUGCAUUCUAGUGGCAAGAAUAAAAAAUAUUGUAAAUAAGUAAACUAAUAAAGGAAAAAAAUGCAAGUUAUAGAUAAGAAGUGUGAGGAAAAUAAAGUAGGUACUGGGCAGAGAGUGUGGGGACGAUGAGCUGCUUUUAACAGGGUGGUUCCGUAAGGAGUCUCCAAGGCAAGGACUUGAAGCUGAGCUUGGAUGGCAAGAGGAAUCAGGCACACCUGUCUUGUAGAGGAUGUGAGUUCUACACACAUUUAGCAAGUAUGGACUACAUACCAGGCACUAGAGUAGAUAUGAGGCUUGUAAAGACUGAUAUGGCACAGCCCCAGCCUCUGAGAGAGUAAUUUCCUAAUUCAUAGUCAUAAAUAAUGGUAAUGUUUUAAUGUAAGGAAAUCCAGAUAUUUAUUGCCUUCUUGAUUUGGCUAAUUAUUUUAAAAAUUAUCCAUUGAUAAUGCCUUUACUGAGCACUUACUACAUGCCAUCUUCUAAAUAAUUUGCACAUACAGAACCUCUGUUUGGUGUUAUUAUUGUUCUUCUUAUUAUAAUACAGUUAAAAACCAAGGCACAGAGUGGAUAGUUCCCCAAAAUCAGUUAGCAGGCAGGAAAAGCAGAAAUUCAACCCAGAAAGUCCAGUACAGAUCUAACACCCUUAACUUUUUGUGUUACAUUGAAACUGCUCCUUACUGGGUUAGUACAUAUUCCUUCCUGUAUGGAAGUU
This 3437-nucleotide long non-coding RNA is filed under the name Sus scrofa (pig). RNAcentral's name for it is "lncRNA (ENSSSCG00000063337.1)". Lineage: Eukaryota; Metazoa; Chordata; Mammalia; Artiodactyla; Suidae. The record is from RNAcentral.